Molecule: transfer-messenger RNA, 393 nt
Filed under: Bacteroidales
Lineage: Bacteria; Pseudomonadati; Bacteroidota; Bacteroidia
Also listed under: 1 other name
Description: JAGCJX01 sp017647795 Standard tmRNA
Rfam family: transfer-messenger RNA
About the family: Bacterial tmRNA, also known as 10Sa RNA or SsrA, is named for its dual tRNA and mRNA-like properties. Its role is to liberate the mRNA from a stalled ribosome. To accomplish this part of the tmRNA is used as a reading frame that ends in a translation stop signal.
Source: RNAcentral
GGGGAUGUUUUGGUUUUGACAGCGUAAGACAUCGGUUUGUAAGCACGUCGAGCCUGGGAAGGCGCUCGUUAAUCCGGUCCCACGCCUAUAACUGGCAACAACAACUAUGCACUCGCUGCGUAAUAAGCCAAGCUUAUUAGCUUAAUCCGCGCCGCCAAGGGCUGCGCCGACGAGUAUCCCGCUGUUCCUCUACCUUCUUCGAACAGCACUCGGGGUAUCAUUUAAGAGGGUUGCUGACGUUUACUCCUCUACGGCGUCCUAAGAUUUAGAGGAUAAGGUCAAGGUGGUUUGUCUGUCAACAGCCUUGAUUCGAAAACCAGGUGCAGACUAAGCGUGUAGAAAGCAUUCGGAUGCUACGUUUGGACGGCGGUUCGAGUCCGCCCAUCUCCACAA